AGAACAAGCUGCCAGCAGAGCUUAAACAGCAUCAGGCAAAAGUUAAAUAUAUCAAAAGUUUAUGGAUAUUACGUUUAAUUUCGCAAAUCAUCUAAUCAAAUGUCGCAUAAUAAAUGGCGCUCAUAACUGAGUACAGCUGCCUUUCGUGUGGACCAACUGCCGCUCGACUCAACUCGUAAUCAAAACUAUUUGAUAUCAGAGUAAUUUAAAUUUGGAACCUUCAAUGAGUGCAUGGCAAAUGUGUUUGCGGUUCUUGAAAGUAAAACGUCUUCCAUUUGUAGUCGGGGAGGCAUCUGCACUCAUGGUGCGUGCUGGAUGCUGGGCAAUAUUGCGUCAACGACUUGCAAACAAAAUUAGGAAAGGCAACCCAAGCGAUUUCACACCCAAACUAAACAUAAGGCGUUGGUCCAAAGGCGCCGGCAGACGCGGAGGUGGAGGGGCGACGACUAAGACGUCGCAUUGACUCUGAGGAUGUGCACCAGUCUAAGCUCAAGAUGAACGCAACGCCACAAACAUGACACUUGCGCCCAGAGUUUGCCACCGUAUUUGUAUUUUAGCUUAAUGGGUUGGAUUGGUCGGUGGCGUAUAAGCAACCAAGUGGAAACUCUGAAAUGGACACAAUUAGUGUGCAAUUUAUGCGCCAUAAAACUGCAGCAACAACAGCAGCAGCUGACAACGAGACAAUGAUUGUCUCUUGUCUUCGCCGCAAUUUGAAUGUUUAAAUAAGACUCCCCGUUUAUGCUAUAUCCACGCCUUCGCCGCUUUCCCCAUACCUGUCCCCACUCUGUCUGCGCGCAGUUUUCCACUUAAAGCAGCGCGUGGGCAACAGUCGCAAUUACCCACAGAUACACAAGUAUAUCCAUGCAAGGCCGACGGUCGACGUUAAGCUCGACAAUUUGACAAUACCCAACGAAAGCGGACUUCACCUCCUCACAUCCAUAUUUGCAUCCGUCUAGCCGUAUGUGACUCCGUAGCCUCAUUGUGCUACGUGAAGCGUGUGGCUUUAAAUUAAAUGCGACGUGGGGUAUGCGUGCAUGAGCCUUACAUGGAAGCCACUGCUGCUUCGAGUGUGAAUUGUCCGGCGUGGACAGGGGAUUCUUACAGCUUUAUUAUGCAGCCACCACCAGCUGCAGCGUUCGCAUCCACGAGCCACAUAAAUCACGCUAAGGCGCACACAAAACUACCAUUUGAUAAUUUGCGAAAAAUGGGUCUGACAACCGCGAAAGAGAACGCCAUAUUGUAGGCCGAUCGAUGUCAUAGAGAUACAUAUAUAUGGAUAUAUAUAUGUGUAUGCAAGCACAAGUUAAAUAGGUAUGUGAUGCUCACAUUUCACGCCUGCAUCUGCCACGGGGCAGCUCUUCUCGUGUUUUUGCACAAUGUGCACAUAUGUACGCGCUGCGCUGGAAGGGGAACGCCAGUAAAAUCACAAAAAUCUGUUGAACUGUUGCCAUUUGUCCAUCCCGUCAGCCGGCCCAAGGGCAAAGGGACUGGCGCAAAUCCGCCCCUGUGUGCUCUCGUAGGUGCGAGAGUGCGUAAUUAUGCGUUCGCAGUCGUAAAACUGAACUUUAUUGCCGCCAAAGCAAGUCCGUUCAGCAGUGUCUCAUGAUUGGCCCGGCAUCGCACCGAUUUCCCCCUCCUUAUAUCUAACGACUGUCAUUUGAUUGAUUUAUACAUGUGUGAAGAUCAACUGAAGCCUGCCUGCAGUCCAUAAACAAAAUAGCUGGGUAUCUGACAAUUAAAUGAGAUAUAAUAAUACGUA
This is a long non-coding RNA of Drosophila montana, 1759 nucleotides long. RefSeq lists it as uncharacterized. Lineage: Eukaryota; Metazoa; Arthropoda; Insecta; Diptera; Drosophilidae. The record is from RefSeq and is a predicted model, not a curated record. The transcript has 2 exons.